CAGCCGCGAUUCAUAACCCACAGCCCACGACCUGCGACCCACGACCCACGACCUACGACCCUCGAUUACCGAUUCUCGGGCCUGGGGAAGCGGUUACGACUCGAAUAGCAGCAGACCAGAAGUCACACAACACGGCAGCAGGAUCUACAACUACAGCAACAGAAACAAUAAUAAGAACAGGACCUAGGACAACGGAAAUAACAGCAUCAGCAGGUCCAACCUACACAUGGCAACACAAACUUCUCUGACUAAUAAUGUCAUAUGGGUGAGCUGACAACAGAUUGGCGCAAAGCGGUACAAUACCGCGGAUGGCAAAGUGGCCGACAAUUAUUUAAUCCCUUGGCCGUGCAAAAUGCAUUUUAAUUACGCACACGCAGCGAGCAGUGCACUUUAGCAUACUUAACAGGGCCACUUGGCGGGAUUUUACUGCUCCUGGAUGCCGGCACUCUAACUAUUCCCCCCAACUCGUUUUUACCCUCUGGUGCUUGUCUUUUCGGUGGCUGCGGGAUUUUAAAAUGCACAUCAUAAAUGCAUUCAUUUGUGACACUUGAUGUAAUUUGUUAG
Molecule: non-coding RNA, 564 nt
Organism: Drosophila suzukii
Lineage: Eukaryota; Metazoa; Arthropoda; Insecta; Diptera; Drosophilidae
Source: RefSeq, a predicted model, not a curated record